Molecule: non-coding RNA, 73 nt
Organism: Lactarius quietus
Lineage: Eukaryota; Fungi; Basidiomycota; Agaricomycetes; Russulales; Russulaceae
Source: the annotation of a GenBank genome assembly
GACCAGGUAGCUCAGUGGUCAAAGCACCUGGAAUGUUAUCAGGAGGUCCUGGGUUCAAACCCCAGUCUGGUCA